This is a long non-coding RNA of Mauremys reevesii (Reeves's turtle), 402 nucleotides long. RefSeq lists it as uncharacterized. NCBI's taxonomy places the organism in Eukaryota, Metazoa, Chordata, Testudines, Geoemydidae. The record is from RefSeq and is a predicted model, not a curated record. The transcript has 4 exons.
CCUGCUCAACUGUCUCCUCGGCUUGGAACCCCAAGUUAUGGACCACCUUACGUAGCAGCUCUUGGUGGGCUUUCUGGACUAUUGACCGAGAUCCUGUUACCGCUGUGCCUGCUACUGUUUCAUCAGGGGAUAACAAGGAAGUUAACAGUUGCUCAGCUUCCUCCGGCUGGUCCCCCUGGUCCCCCUCCCUCAAGCUUGUGUCUGGAGCCUCAAGACGCAGAUCAGGUCUGGAACCAAUCAGGUGACUCAACAGGAUGAAGAAUGGACCUCAGGCAAGAGGCAGGAGGGGGUAGCAGCAUUGCAAGGACUCAACCUGAGGUACCCUAUGGGGGUGCUACAUCGAUGGAACUGCUACUUACAAUCUGCACUAAAGGAACUACUGCAUUAGACUGUACAGCUCAG